This 253-nucleotide ribosomal RNA is filed under the name uncultured bacterium. Its description in RNAcentral is "partial 16S ribosomal RNA". It matches the Rfam family "Bacterial small subunit ribosomal RNA", at positions 524 to 776 of the family's 1533-position model. The record is from RNAcentral.
UACGUAGGGGGCAAGCGUUGUCCGGAAUCAUUGGGCGUAAAGAGCGUGUAGGCGGCGCGGUAAGUCCGCUCUGAAAGCCCGGGGCUCAACCCCGGGAGGCGGGCGGAUACUGUCGGGCUAGAGUCCGGAAGAGGCGAGUGGAAUUCCUGGUGUAGCGGUGAAAUGCGUAGAGAUGUGGCGGAACACCGAUGGCGAAGGCAGCCCCCUGGGUCGAGAUUGACGCUCAGGCACGAAAGCGUGGGGAGCAAACAGG